Molecule: non-coding RNA, 514 nt
Filed under: Anisakis simplex x Anisakis pegreffii
Lineage: Eukaryota; Metazoa; Nematoda; Chromadorea; Rhabditida; Anisakidae
Source: RNAcentral
UCGGCUAGACUUUAUAAACUUAUACUCUAAUUAAUGUUAAUUUAGAGUUAUUUCGGUAUUGAUUUUUAAUUUUAGGGUGAAAUCAGAAAUUAUUUUUAUUUAAACUCUAAAUUUUAAGAUUUAGUAAACAAACCAGAUUAGUACCUGGUUAGAUAAAAUUUAAAAGAGCAGGAGUAAAGUUAUAUUUAAACUGUAAGAAUAUUGGCAGGUUUUUAAAUUAUCUUUGGAGGCUGAGUAGUGAUUGAGAGCCCUCAUUUUCAACUUUUUCUUUAGGCGCAUGUAUGAUCGUUUAUUUUAUUCUUAAGGAUUGUAAUUUUAGUCUUUGCUAUAAAAAUAGAUAGAUAUCUGGCUUAUGAGAAAGAUUUAAUUUGGCCUACAAUAAUUUAAUUUUUGGAUUCUAGUUUUAGAGGCUAGAUGAAAUUGUAAAAGACAGUAAGUUGCUUUUAAUGGGUAGCUGAAGUUUAUUUAAAAACGGUACAAAUCAUCCAUCAAUUGCCUAUAGGGGAGUAAGUUG